GAUGAACGCUGGCGGCGUGCCUAAUACAUGCAAGUCGAGCGAACGGACGAGAAGCUUGCUUCUCUGAUGUUAGCGGCGGACGGGUGAGUAACACGUGGAUAACCUACCUAUAAGACUGGGAUAACUUCGGGAAACCGGAGCUAAUACCGGAUUAUAUUUUGAACCGCAUGGUUCAAAAGUUAAAGACGGUCUUGCUGUCACUUAUAGAUGUAUCCGCGCUGCAUUAGCUAGUUGGUAAGGUAACGGCUUACCAAGGCAACGAUGCAUAGCCGACCUGAGAGGGUGACCGGCCACACUGGAACUGAGACACGGUCAAGACUCCUACGGGAGGCAGCAGUAGGGAAUCGUCCGCAAUGGGCGAAAGCCUGACGGAGCAACGCCGCGUGAGUGAUGAAGGUCUUCGGAUCGUAAAACUCUGUUAUUAGGGAAGAACAUAUGUGUAAGUAACUGUGCACAUCUUGACGGUACCUAAUCAGAAAGCCACGGCUAACUACGUG
Molecule: ribosomal RNA, 497 nt
Filed under: uncultured bacterium
Lineage: Bacteria
Description: partial 16S ribosomal RNA
Rfam family: Bacterial small subunit ribosomal RNA
Source: RNAcentral